Passer montanus (Eurasian tree sparrow) is the source of this 275-nucleotide long non-coding RNA. RefSeq lists it as uncharacterized. The record is from RefSeq and is a predicted model, not a curated record. The transcript has 3 exons. Lineage: Eukaryota; Metazoa; Chordata; Aves; Passeriformes; Passeridae.
CUUAUUUAAAGUUUAACCACUCAUCUUCUAACAGAGACUGAAAGAUGUAUUGCUCUACAGCCAGGCAGCAAAAUACUCUGAGAUGGCAAAAUACUCUGAGAUGGCAAAAUACUCUGAGAUGGCGAAUUUUACAUACUGUUAUGCAGAAGAAAUGAAAGACAAGAGAUUCCUGUGGAUAAAGAGAGUUUGUCACAUCAAUGCCAUACCCAGCUGUCACCAUGCAAGACUUGCUAACAGGGUUUGAGCGAGCAGAACCAGCAUGGAAAGAGCUCUGU